This 468-nucleotide ribosomal RNA is filed under the name uncultured bacterium. RNAcentral's name for it is "partial 16S ribosomal RNA". It matches the Rfam family "Bacterial small subunit ribosomal RNA", at positions 28 to 507 of the family's 1533-position model. The record is from RNAcentral.
GACGAACGCUGGCGGCGUGCUUAACACAUGCAAGUCGAACGGAAAGGCCCUGCUUUUGUGGGGUGCUCGAGUGGCGAACGGGUGCGUAACACGUGAGUAACCUGCCCUUGACUUUGGGAUAACUUCAGGAAACUGGGGCUAAUACCGGAUAGGAGCUCCUGCUGCAUGGUGGGGGUUGGAAAGUUUCGGCGGUUGGGGAUGAACUCGCGGCUUAUCAGCUUGUUGGUGGGGUAGUGGCUUACCAAGGCUUUGACGGGUAGCCGGCCUGAGAGGGUGACCGGCCACAUUGGGACUGAGAUACGGCCCAGACUCCUACGGGAGGCAGCAGUGGGGAAUAUUGCACAAUGGGCGGAAGCCUGAUGCAGCAACGCCGCGUGCGGGAUGACGGCCUUCGGGUUGUAAACCGCUUUCGCCUGUGACGAAGCGUGAGUGACGGUAAUGGGUAAAGAAGCACCGGCUAACUACGUG